CCUACGGGUGGCAGCAGUGAGGAAUAUUGGUCAAUGGCCGCAAGUCUGAACCAGCCAAGCCGCGUGAAGGACGAAGGUCCUACGGAUUGUAAACUUCUUUUGUCAGGGGACAAAAUGUGGCUCGAGAGCCUGACCGCGUGUACUUUACGAACAAGCAUCGGCUAACUCCGUGCCAGCAGCCGCGGUAAUACGGAGGAUCCGAGCGUUAACCGGAUUUAUUGGGUUUAAAGGGUGCGUUGGCGGGCUGUUAAGUCAGCUGUGAAAGCCCCGGGCCCAACCCCGGCAUGGCAGUUGAAACUGGCAGUCUUGAGUUGGGGAGAGGUGGGCGGAAUGCGUGGUGUAGCGGUGAAAUGCUUAGAUAUCGCGCAGAACUCCGAUUGCGAAGGCAGCACACCGGAGGAGAACUGACGCUGAGGCACGAAAGCGUGGGUAUCGAACAGGAUUAGAUACCCUGGUAGUC
This 460-nucleotide ribosomal RNA is filed under the name uncultured bacterium. RNAcentral describes it as "partial 16S ribosomal RNA". It matches the Rfam family "Bacterial small subunit ribosomal RNA", at positions 338 to 795 of the family's 1533-position model. The record is from RNAcentral.